This 251-nucleotide ribosomal RNA is filed under the name uncultured bacterium. RNAcentral describes it as "partial 16S ribosomal RNA". It matches the Rfam family "Bacterial small subunit ribosomal RNA", at positions 524 to 776 of the family's 1533-position model. The record is from RNAcentral.
GACGGGGGGGGCAAGUGUUCUUCGGAAUGACUGGGCGUCAAGGGCACGUAGGCGGUGAAUCGGGUUGAAAGUGAAAGUCGCCAAAAAGUGGCGGAAUGCUCUCGAAACCAAUUCACUUGAGUGGGACAGAGGAGAGUGGAAUUUCGUGUGUAGGGGUGAAAUCCGUAGAUCUACGAAGGAAGGCCAAAAGCGAAGGCAGCUCUCUGGGUCCAUACCGACGCUGGGGUGCGAAAGCAUGGGGAGCGAACAGG